This 597-nucleotide long non-coding RNA is filed under the name Homo sapiens (human). RNAcentral describes it as "HSALNT0380955". The record is from RNAcentral. Lineage: Eukaryota; Metazoa; Chordata; Mammalia; Primates; Hominidae.
AGAGAAAGCGCGGGCCUCCCAGGGCCCCUGCGAGGGAGAGAAGGCUCUCGGUGACUCCUCGGGGUGGCGGGGAAGUCCAGCCUCCGUAGGCACAAAACCUGGGCCCGGGCCCCGAGGCUUCGCUCCGCCUGCCCUCGGGGAGGUGGGAGGGGCCGCUCCGCGCUGGGGCCUCGCAGCCUUCCCGGGCUUCGCGGCUGGGAGAGAUUCCUCCAGGCCGCUCCACAGGCCCUGUCCCCGCGCAGGAGAAGCUGGUCCUACUCUUGGUCCCCUACCCCGUUCCUCGGGUUCCUUUGCGUGUUCAUCCCUCCCGGGCAAGGGCUUCAAGUCUCGGGGCCUUUCUCCGGCCCGAGCUCCUGAGCAGAGUUGAAGGCCCCCGGCUUCCCGAAGAAGCCCCACCCCAGGGCGUGCACCCAAGUGGAGACUCUGCCCCAGGGACUAGCUGAGGCUGCUCCCCGCAAGUUCCCCACUUCCCGGCGGGCAGAGAACAAGGAGCUCGGGGCUUGGAGUCCGCCGUGUGGCGUUCAGCAAGUCAUUUCACCUCCCUCGACUGCGGAUUCUCCCGUUGCUGCGAGAAUAAAAUAAAAGACUUGAAAUCAG